This is a long non-coding RNA of Homo sapiens (human), 3141 nucleotides long. Ensembl annotates it as long intergenic non-protein coding RNA 662. The record is from Ensembl. Lineage: Eukaryota; Metazoa; Chordata; Mammalia; Primates; Hominidae.
CCCACCCUUUGCCACACUCCUUCAGAGAUGCGCAGUGCUGCCCCUUUCUAUGGGCAGGGCCGAAGGUCCGCGUGUAAAAGUACCCAGUCCCUGGUAACCUGACACUUCCCUUUUAAAAGCCACCUUUUGUCUAUCUCUGGCCUGCCACGAUUCUUCCUGUGCUCCAUAGGAGGACCCAUUGGACCCCCGGGCUGGCUGCAGGGCCCACACCUGGGUUAGACCUCGCACAGGGACGCUGCUGCCACUGUAAUAAAGCGUGCCUACACGCUUCUGAAACUGGUGUAGGAACAACCUCAGUUCUGUGAAAGGCGGACGCAGCAGGACAGAAUCUCCGUGGACAUCUGUCUGGAGGAGCAAUUUUACUGCGACAUUUUAAAGAAACAAAUUUAAUUGAUUUCCAAGGGUGUCCAUCGCGCUUCCUUCACUGCCUUGAUCAUGUCGGGGUCACCACCUGCGGGGGUUUGUCCUGCAGACCCUGACUCAACGACGGAUGAAUAAUGUACACUGACACAGAUCUUAUGCUUGUCAGUCCUGCUGAGCAUCCAGGCCACUUACAGACUCCAAGAAGAGUCCUGUCAGCCACGGCUCUGACUUGUUGGCCCUCCCGGCAUUUAUUUAGCACACAUUUAAUGACAGAAGUCUCAGGUAAACACCACUAGAAGGCUGGAAACACUCUUUUUGUAGAACAUACAAAUGGACAUUUCUAAGCACAUUGAGGCCUAUAAUGAAAAAUCAAAUAUCCCACAAUGAAAACUAGAAGGAAGCUAUCUGUGAUAAUGCUUUGUGGUGUAUGGAUUCAUCUCACUGACUGAAACCUGAGUUUUGAUUCACCAGGUUGGAAACACUUUUACUGUAUUAUCUAUGAAGAAACGUUUUUGAGGCCAUUAAGUCCUACACUGAAAAACUGAAUAUACUGCAUUAAACAUUCUAAAGAAGCUAACUGUGAAAAUGCUUUGCAAUGUGUGUAUUUAUCUCACAGAGUUAAACCAUUGUUUUGAUUCAUCAGUUUGGAAACAGUUUCUUUGUAGAAUCUAUGAAGGGACCUUUCAGAGGCCAUUGAGGCCUAUAAUAAAGAAACAAAUAUCCCACAAUAAAACAAGAAACAUAUAGAAACAAGCUGUAUGUGAAAAUGCUUUGUGAUAUCUGGAUUCUUCUCACUGAAUCAAACCUGGGUUUUGAGUCACCAGGUUGGAAACACUUUUUUUGUAAAAUCUAGGAAGGGAAAUUUCUGAGCCCAUUGAGGCACAUAGUGAAAAACCGAGGAUCCUGUGAUAAAAACUAGAAAAACGCAAUAUGUGAAGUUGCUUUGUGAUGUGUGGAUUCGUCUCCCCGAAUGGAAUCUCUGUUUUGAUUCACCAGGUUGGAAACAAUGUUUUUGUAGAAUGUACAAUGAGACAUUUCUGAGUCCAUUUAGGCCUAUACUGAGAAACCCAAUAUCCUGCUAUAAGAAGUAGAAAAAUGCUAUCUGUAAAAAUGCUUUGUGAUGCAUGGAUUCAUCUCACAGAGUUAAAGCUUUGUUUGGAUUCAACAGGUGAAAAACCCUUUUUUACAGAAUCUACAAAAAACAUCUCUGAUCCCAUUGAAGUUUAUAGUGAAAAACAGAAUAUCCUGUGAUAAAAAGUAGAAACAAGCUAUCCGUUGAAAUGCUUUGCAAGGUCUGAAUUCAUCUGACAGAGUUAAACCUCUCUUUUAAUUCAUCAAUUUGGAAACACGCUUUUCUUAGAAUCUAUGAAGAAACAUUUCUGACCCAAUUGAAACCUAUACUGAAAAAUAGAAUAUCCCAAAAUAAAACCAGAGAAAAGUUAUCUCUGAAAAUGGAUUGUAAUAUGUGGAUUCAUCUAACAGAGUUAAACCUUUGUUUUGAUUCAACAGGUUGGAAACACUCUUGUUGUAGAAUCUAUGAAGGGAGAUUUCUGGGAGCAUUGAUGCUUAUAAUAAAAUACAGAGUAUCCCGCAAUGAAAAGUACAAACAACCUAUCUGUGCAAAUGCUUUGCCAUGUGGGAAUUCCUCUUACAAAGUUACACAUUUGUUUUGAUUCAAUAGGUUGAAACACUCUUUUUGUAGCAUCUACUAAGGAACAUUUCAGAGCUCACUGAGGCCUAUAAUGAAAAACUGAAUAUUCCAUGUUAAAAAGUAGAAACAAGCUAUAAGUUAAAAUGCUUUGGGUUUUCUGGAUUUACAUCACAGAUUUAAACUUUUGUUUUGAUUCAUCACCUUGGAAACUUGCUUUUUGUAGAAUCUAUGAAGGAACAUUUCUGAGCUCAUUGAGGCCUAUAGUGAAAAACGGAAUAUCCAGUGAUAAAAACCAGAAGCAAGCUAUCUGUGGAAAUGCUUUGUGAUGUUUGGAUUCAUCUCACAGAGUUAAAUCUUUGUUUUAAUUAAACGGGUUGGAAACACUCUUUUUGUAGAAUCAAUGAAAAGACAUUUCUGAGCCCACUCAGGCCUAUGUUGAAAAAUCGAAUAUCCCACAAUAAAAACUAGAAACAAGGCAAGUAUAAAAAUGCUUUGUGGUGUCUGGAUUCAUCUUAGAAAGUUAAACCUUUGCUUUAAUUAAAUAGGUUGGAAACACUGUUGUUGUAGAAUCUACGAAGGGACAUUUCUGAGGCCUUCGACUCCUAUUGUUACACACUGAAUAGCCCAUGAUAAAAACUAGAAACAAGCUUGCUCUGAAAGUGCUUUGUAAUGCGUGGACUUAUCUCACUGAAUGAAACCCUUUGUUUGAUUCACUAGGUUAAAAACACUGUUGUUGUAGAAUCUAUGAAGGGACAUUUAUGAGUCAAUUGAGACCUACAGUAAGAAACCAAAUAUUUCGUGAUAAAAAUUAGAAGCAAGCUAUUUGAAAAAAUGCUUUGCAAUGUGUACAUUCAUCUCACCAAAUAUAACUUGUGUUUUGAAUCACCUGAUUGGAAAUACUCUUUUUGUAAAAUCUCCAAAGGGACAUUUCUGAGCCCAUUGAGGCCUAUAAUAUAAAACAGACUAUCUUGUGAUAAAAACUAGAAAGAAGCUAUCUGUGAAAAAUGCUUGUGAUAUGUUGAUUCAUCUCAGAGUUAAAUUAUUAUUUUGAUUGAACAGCUUGGAAACACUCUCCUUGUAGAAUCUAGAAAUUGUAAUUUCUGAGCUCAUUGAGACCUAUAGUGAAA